This 1036-nucleotide long non-coding RNA is filed under the name Pan troglodytes (chimpanzee). Its description in RNAcentral is "long non-coding RNA NONPTRT015194". Lineage: Eukaryota; Metazoa; Chordata; Mammalia; Primates; Hominidae. The record is from RNAcentral.
GGCGAAGGGAGCCGCGGGGUGGGAGAGGAGGGAGUCCCGGCGGGAGGGCGGGGGAGAGACUGGCGGGAGGGGGGCUCCACGGAGCUCCAGCCAGGGCCGCGGUGCGCCUGCACGUCACGGCUACUCAAACCCAAGCACGUCCCGAAAGCGGUAUUUUCUGCGUCUGGGAGGUUUUUGCAUCCUCAGUUCCCACCGCUGGGGCUGGCGGCGACCAACUGUAAGAGAAACUCACUGGGAGGCGAGGCAGGGGGGUGCGGAGGAUGGGAAGGCGACUCUGAAGGGUGGGAAGUGAAUGCUGGACUUGAUCGUCUUUCUCUUUCUUUCAGCGCAGACCUGUCGCAGCCAGAGAGCUGUCAUUUCAGUACCGGGAUUCAGAAUUGAUCCAGUCCGCAGCGGAGGGGGCACAUCCCAGCUACCGAGCUGCUGAGUGUCUCUGGCUGGAACAAUAGUAUUUUUUUCUCUGCGAGGCUGCAAUUAACAUCUUAUUUUUUCUGGCUCCAUACAGGCUUUGUCAGGAUCGCGGUGCGGCGACCGACGUUGGGCUCUUGCAUUGCUUUCUGCUUGGCAAUGGAAUCAUGGUUUCGGGAUAGUCAUUUUGCCUCCUGGACAGUUGGCUGACGAAGUGUCUGAUAAACCAGCUUCAGAUACAUGCUACAAAAGGCUACUGAGCUGGCCUGAUGAUGAUCCUGCUGAGAUAUAUUUAUAGCAGAUGAUUUGUGGAUGAUAACUACGCCAAGCAAGACACUGUCUCUAGUAACCCCAGGCUCGUCUGACUUCCUCAGGGGAUUAUAAUAAAGAAUCACAAAAAGAACCCUAUAUGGACAGUCUGGUCUCUGGACACUAACAACAGCACAAUCCAAAGGCAAAGCAAGGAGGAACCACCUUGUUUCAUGUCUGCAAGAUGCUCCAUAUGAAAGCAUUACUGACAUGUUGACCCAACAGCAAAAAGAGAGCAGCAGUUUACACACCCUCAGCUCUCUGUCCUUUCCUUUCUAUUGAUGUUGGUCCACUUUUAUGACUGAAUACAUAUUAAAAU